This 341-nucleotide long non-coding RNA is filed under the name Bos taurus (domestic cattle). Its description in RNAcentral is "long non-coding RNA NONBTAT024575". The record is from RNAcentral. Lineage: Eukaryota; Metazoa; Chordata; Mammalia; Artiodactyla; Bovidae.
UUAGGCCAUUCUUGAUGGAUCCAGACCCCUGCCCUAACUGUCCAACUGUCCUAAAGAGGGCUCAGAUUAUAAGACGGAUUGCCACACAGCUUCUUUUUUGUCAUGUUUUGUAAAUCCUGCCAGAGUUCCCUAAACUUGCUUCAAUUAUAGAAACUGACUGGCAUUCAUUCAGAAGCCCCAGGAGCAUUCAAUAAGUUUCAAGUAUAUUGAACCCUAGAUAAGAACAUGCAAAUAAGUAGGAAUGGAUCAUACAGGGUAAGCACCAGGGAUAAUAAGGUUUUGUAUGUUUAUACUGUUAAUGCCAUAUUAUUAUGAGAUAAUUUGUUGCAUAGUGUCCUUAU